Molecule: unclassified non-coding RNA, 633 nt
Filed under: Rhynchotechum brevipedunculatum
Lineage: Eukaryota; Viridiplantae; Streptophyta; Magnoliopsida; Lamiales; Gesneriaceae
Description: partial contains 18S rRNA, ITS1, 5.8S rRNA, ITS2 and 28S RNA
Rfam family: 5.8S ribosomal RNA (bases 237-392)
Source: RNAcentral
UCGAAACCUGCAAAGGAGACCCGCGAAUAUGUUUGAAGAAAGCUUGUGGCCGUGGUGUCGGACGCCCCCGGUGUCCAGCAUCACGGUCCCGACCCCAAGCGGCACAAGUCCCUUGGGCGUACUAACCUCUCGGCGUGGCAAGCGCCAAGGAAAACCACAUCGAGCGCCUUUCCGUCCGGGCAUCGUCCGCGUUGCCCAGGAUGUGAUGAGUAGCGUCUAAUGUACAUGAAUACAACGACUCUCGGCAACGGAUAUCUCGGCUCUCGCAUCGAUGAAGAACGUAGCGAAAUGCGAUACUUGGUGUGAAUUGCAGAAUCCCGUGAACCAUCGAGUCUUUGAACGCAAGUUGCGCCCGAAGCCAUCAGGCCGAGGGCACGUCUGCCUGGGCGUCACGCAUCACGUCGCCCCCUCCCCAAACAUCAUCUUCCCCACCAACUAGGUGACGGAACGGAUGCAUGCAAAGGAGGGGCGGAUAUUGGCCUCCCGUUAGCUCGUCCAGCGGCCGGCCCAAAUAGGAUACCGUGUCGAUGGAUGUCACACGAUACGUGGUGGUUGGAACUCUCAACUUGCGAACUAUCGUGUGGGGCAACAUCGAGCUACGGCCACGGACCCAACGGCACGAAUCGCCCCCGG